Molecule: ribosomal RNA, 265 nt
Filed under: uncultured bacterium
Lineage: Bacteria
Description: partial 16S ribosomal RNA
Rfam family: Bacterial small subunit ribosomal RNA
Source: RNAcentral
CGUUAGCGGCGGACGGGUGAGUAACGCGUGGACAACCUGCCCUAGUGCAGGGGGAUAACAUCCGGAAACGGGUGCUAAUACCGCAUAAGCGCACAGUACCGCACGGUACGGUGUGAAAAGCUGAGGCGGCAUAGGAUGGGUCCGCGUUGGAUUAGGCAGUUGGCGGGGUAACGGCCCACCAAACCGACGAUCCAUAGCCGGCCUGAGAGGGUGGACGGCCACAUUGGGACUGAGACACGGCCCAGACUCCUACGGGAGGCAGCAG